ACUGCGGUAGUCUAACAGACAUUUGAUUUCGACUCAAAAGAACUUAAAACAUUAAGCCACAGUA
RNAcentral lists this transfer RNA (64 nucleotides) under Dryophiops rubescens. RNAcentral's name for it is "tRNA-Arg". The record is from RNAcentral. Lineage: Eukaryota; Metazoa; Chordata; Lepidosauria; Squamata; Colubridae.